Molecule: long non-coding RNA, 434 nt
Filed under: Pan troglodytes (chimpanzee)
Lineage: Eukaryota; Metazoa; Chordata; Mammalia; Primates; Hominidae
Description: long non-coding RNA NONPTRT011476
Source: RNAcentral
UUGCCUUCUGCUAGCUUUUGAAUUUGUUUGCUCUUGCUUCUCUAGUUCUUUUAAUUUUGAUGUUAGAUUGUCAGUUUUAGAUCUUUCUUGCUUUAUCUUGUGGGCAUUUAGUGCUAUAAAUUUCCCUCUACACAGUGCUUAAAUGUGUCCCAGAGAUUCUGGUACAUUGUGUCUUUGCUCUCAUUGGUUUCAAAGAACAUCUUUAUUUCUGCCUUCAUUUCAUUAUUUACGCAGUAGUCAUUCAGGAGCAGGUUGUUCAGUUUUCAUGUAGUUGUGUGGUUUUGAGUGAGUUUCUUAAUCCUGAUUCUAAUUUGAUUGCACUGUGGUCUAUGAGAUAGUUGGUGUGAUUUUUGUUCUUUUAUAUUUGCUGAGGAGUGUUUUACUUCCAAUAUGUGGUCAAUUUUAAAAUAAGUGCUAUGUGGUGCUAAGAAGAA